RNAcentral lists this transfer RNA (61 nucleotides) under Acraea epaea. Its description in RNAcentral is "tRNA-Arg". The record is from RNAcentral. Lineage: Eukaryota; Metazoa; Arthropoda; Insecta; Lepidoptera; Nymphalidae.
UUAUAAGAAGCAAUUUGCGUUUAAUUUCGACUUAAAAACUAGAGUAUCUACUCCUUAUUUA